Molecule: ribosomal RNA, 519 nt
Filed under: uncultured eukaryote
Lineage: Eukaryota
Description: SSU rRNA
Rfam family: Eukaryotic small subunit ribosomal RNA
Source: RNAcentral
AGGGCACCACCAGGAGUGGAGCCUGCGGCUUAAUUUGACUCAACACGGGGAAACUUACCCGGCCCGGACACUGGAAGGAUUGACAGAUUGAGAGCUCUUUCUUGAUUCAGUGGGUGGUGGUGCAUGGCCGUUCUUAGUUGGUGGAGCGAUUUGUCUGGUUAAUUCCGAUAACGAACGAGACUCUAGCCUAUUAAAUAGGCUCCCGGCUUUUAAACGCCGGGAGGACUUCUUAGAGGGACAGGUGGCGGUUCAGCCGCACGAAAGAGAGCAAUAACAGGUCUGUGAUGCCCUUUGAUGUCCGGGGCCGCACGCGCGCUACACUGAAGAGAUCAGCGUGCUUUAUGUUCCUGCUCCGACCGGAGUGGGGAACCCAGUGAAACUUCUUCGUGAUUGGGAUAGAACAUUGUAAUUAUUGUUCUUGAACGAGGAAUUCCCAGUAAAUGCGAGUCAUAAGCUCGCGUUGAUUACGUCCCUGCCCUUUUGUACACACCGCCCGUCGCUACCCGGAACUGAGCAGUU